Nicotiana tabacum (common tobacco) is the source of this 742-nucleotide long non-coding RNA. RefSeq lists it as uncharacterized. The record is from RefSeq and is a predicted model, not a curated record. Lineage: Eukaryota; Viridiplantae; Streptophyta; Magnoliopsida; Solanales; Solanaceae.
GUGAGGCGCUAAUCGAAAUAACAAUUAAAUAAAAAAUAACAUUCCAAUAUAACCUCUUUGUAUUAUCGAAUUAAACCUCUUGUUUGUCAAAGUUUGGUUCUUCAACUCCCUAAACCCUUUUCGAUACACUCGAUCUAACAAUUCAUGCUACUAACCCAUGUAAGCCCUCUUGUUCCGGAGAUAAUAUAUGCAAAAACUUCCUAGAAACCUGAUCUCCAUUUGUUCCGUUGCUGAUGAUUUAGGCACGAAAACUACAAAAGAGAUCUCGUGCUGAUAGGACUCUCAACUUUUUGGAUCCAAGAUUUAUGGUUGUUCUAUGUCAUGAUCGAGCUUUGGAGAAGCGUAGUGAUUUCAGUAAGAGAUACUCUUUUGGGGGUUCGCUAAUCAAUAGGCAGCAAUGGAGCUGAAAGAUGGUAACUUCAUGGUGGAGUUGUUCUUGUUAUUGGAGUACUAUGGGCAUAGGACAUGUCAUCGUUGAAGAAUUUUUAAGCUUCGGUGUAGUGAUUUAUACACGUUCAUGAAAUAAAAAAUAUUCUGAUGAAUGUUUUGGAGAAACUGGCAAAAGAAGGGGUGUAAAUUAAAAAGGUCUAUAUGUGUCUUGUUAUCAGAAGAUCAAUGACACUGGUAAUUGUAAAAGCCACUAAAUACUUCAGUGGAAAGCUUAAUAUCUCUGUAAAUGAGAUACCUUAAAUUGUUGUGAAGUUUAUAUUGAAUCUUUAAUUGAAGAUUACUAAUUAUGUAA